AUACUUACCUGGCAGGGGAGAGACCAUGGUCAUGAAGGUGGUUUUCCCAGGUGAGGCAUAGGCAUUACACUCCAGCUGUGCCCUGUGAUUUCCCCAAAUGUGGGAAACUUGACUGCGAAUGA
RNAcentral lists this small nuclear RNA (122 nucleotides) under Carlito syrichta (Philippine tarsier). RNAcentral's name for it is "U1 spliceosomal RNA (ENSTSYG00000021235.2)". It matches the Rfam family "U1 spliceosomal RNA". From Rfam's summary of the family: U1 is a small nuclear RNA (snRNA) component of the spliceosome (involved in pre-mRNA splicing). Its 5' end forms complementary base pairs with the 5' splice junction, thus defining the 5' donor site of an intron. Lineage: Eukaryota; Metazoa; Chordata; Mammalia; Primates; Tarsiidae. The record is from RNAcentral.